GGGGUUGUGGCUCAGAAGUAGAGCACUCACUUAGCAUGUGUGAGGCCCUGAGUUCGGUCCUCAGCACCA
This 69-nucleotide transfer RNA is filed under the name Ictidomys tridecemlineatus (thirteen-lined ground squirrel). RNAcentral describes it as "Spermophilus tridecemlineatus (thirteen-lined ground squirrel) tRNA". It matches the Rfam family "tRNA". Rfam says of the family: Transfer RNA (tRNA) molecules are approximately 80 nucleotides in length. Their secondary structure includes four short double-helical elements and three loops (D, anti-codon, and T loops). Further hydrogen bonds mediate the characteristic L-shaped molecular structure. tRNAs have two regions of fundamental functional importance: the anti-codon, which is responsible for specific mRNA codon recognition, and the 3' end, to which the tRNAs corresponding amino acid is attached (by aminoacyl-tRNA synthetases). tRNAs cope with the degeneracy of the genetic code in two manners: having more than one tRNA (with a specific anti-codon) for a particular amino acid; and 'wobble' base-pairing, i.e. permitting non-standard base-pairing at the 3rd anti-codon position. The record is from Rfam by way of RNAcentral. Lineage: Eukaryota; Metazoa; Chordata; Mammalia; Rodentia; Sciuridae.